UAGAAAGUUCUUAUAAAAGUUAAAGUUUACAAAUCUUUUCAGCAACAUUUCCAAAAUUGUUCCUCGUACUUCUGCUUCUCACUUUCUGUACAUAUAUACAAUAUAUGAUAUCGCCAUUUAUUUACUUUGAUCAUUUUUCUACAUGUUGGAAUAAACCAAUUUGCAUUGGCAAACAUUCCAUUGGCUAUCCAUACGUUGCCACUAAUUCAAUCAUAAAAAGAUGUGGAAAACUUAAAAUGGUUUUUGGUCAUUUCACUUUGUUGUAGCUGUUGUAAGUAAAUCUGCCAUAAGCUAUAUAUUUCGAACAACCCAUUCUUUACAUAUUUCUCCUGUUCUUUCCCUGGUCAUUCCUAAUGCCAGAAAAUGGGGAAGGACCCUUGGAAUUGGAUGUCUAUGACUUUAAACGACCUUGUGUUACCCUUGCCAUGUAUAAUGUUGAUCAGGUUAGUCUUUACACAACUCACCUGCAUAUUGAAUCUUUUCUUAUGCCACUUUUACAGCCUUUUCCCUCAUCAUUUGGAUUUUUGUGAAAAUUUGUUGGCCUAUUCAAGCGUUUGCAAAAUCGUAGAGGCAAUGGCAUUUGUAAACAGUGGUCUCUCCUCUUGAGCAUAAAGAAUACAAUUCUUAAGAAGUAUGAUGGCGGGUAAUUUGUUUAUGAAAAGCUUGGUCAAGCGUUAUAAUAUUAAUAAAAUGAAAUAUAUCUGUAUAAUACCAUUUACAUCAAUAUUUUCACUAUCUCAGGUUCAACCGUUCAAGGAUAUAUUUAAGGAGUUACAUGAAUAGAAGUGGACGAAGCAACUUGAAGAACACUCACUAUGGUUGAUUUUUAUAUCUUUGAUGUAUAUAAUCUUAAUGUGCCCAUUCACAUUGUUUUCUAGACAUAUAUGCUUCCCCUAGGUAUGAGCAUCGGUUGUUCGAUGACAUGGUGGCAUACAUCGUGAAGAGUGAUGGUGGAUAUGUUUGGGCUUGUAAGAAUUAUGUCAAAUAUGUCCAACAUGAUUUACUUACAC
Molecule: long non-coding RNA, 1010 nt
Filed under: Olea europaea subsp. europaea
Lineage: Eukaryota; Viridiplantae; Streptophyta; Magnoliopsida; Lamiales; Oleaceae
Source: RNAcentral